Molecule: ribosomal RNA, 528 nt
Filed under: uncultured bacterium
Lineage: Bacteria
Description: bacterial SSU rRNA
Rfam family: Bacterial small subunit ribosomal RNA
Source: RNAcentral
CUGGCGGUAUGCUUAACACAUGCAAGUCGAGCGAGAAAAUGACUUCGGUCAUGAGUACAGCGGCGGACGGGUGAGUAAUACAUGGAUAAUCUGCCUUUAGGACCGGGACAACCCAGGGAAACUUGAGCUAAUACCGGAUAAGACCACAGAAUCUUCGGAUUCAGCGGUAAAAGGUGGCUUCGGCUAUCACCUAUCGAUGAGUCCAUGUCCCAUCAGGUAGUUGGUGAGGUAACGGCCCACCAAGCCUAAGACGGGUAGCCGACCUUAGCGGGUGAUCGGCCACACGGGGACUGAGACACGGCCCCGACUCCUACGGGAGGCAGCAGUGGGGAAUAUUGGACAAUGGGCGCAAGCCUGAUCCAGCAAUACCGCGUGAGGGAUGAAGGCCUUCGGGUCGUAAACCUCUGUCAGUUGGAACGAUGGGUUUAAAGGUUAAUACCCCUUUAGACUUGACGGUACCUUCAAAGAAGCCCCGGCUAACUCCGUGCCAGCAGCCGCGGUAAUACGGAGGGGUUAGCGUUGAAGCCC